GUGCGAGCGUUGUCCGGAAUUACUGGGCGUAAAGAGCUCGUAGGUGGUUUGUCGCGUCGUCUGUGAAAUUCCGGGGCUCAACUCCGGAUGGGCAGGCGAUACGGGCAUAACUUGAGUGCUGUAGGGGAGACUGGAAUUCCUGGUGUAGCGGUGAAAUGCGCAGAUAUCAGGAGGAACACCGAUGGCGAAGGCAGGUCUCUGGGCAGUUACUGACGCUGAGGAGCGAAAGCAUGGGUAGCG
This 240-nucleotide ribosomal RNA is filed under the name uncultured bacterium. RNAcentral's name for it is "partial 16S ribosomal RNA". It matches the Rfam family "Bacterial small subunit ribosomal RNA", at positions 532 to 770 of the family's 1533-position model. The record is from RNAcentral.